GCCGCAGGGCAGUUUACCACAAGAGAGUUUGAAGCAGAUGAUAUAACCAUUUCCCUCUCCAGGAUUAAAACCAGGAAACAAGUCGCAAAAGUCCACUUUUGUCUCAAGAGUCUUGUAACUUCCCAGUUUUAUCAUUGGUGGAAAUUUUUCAGGCCUUGUUCAGGUCUUUCUGAAGCACACACGAAGGUCCUGAGGAGAUACGAGCAGGGACUGGAACUGUGGUCAGGACCUUUGGAAGGGAUCUUGAGGACAGUUUGCUUCACAGAGAGCAGGUACCAGUCCUCUCUUCAGCAAACUCCAGCUCCCGCUGGUCCUCCAGCAUCCUGAAUUACAGAUGCACUUCAGAGAGAGCAGGAAAUCCAACACCACCAAAUAAACACAAGGGGACGAUGAGCGCCA
This 399-nucleotide long non-coding RNA is filed under the name Numida meleagris (helmeted guineafowl). Its description in RNAcentral is "lncRNA (ENSNMEG00000003656.1)". The record is from RNAcentral. Lineage: Eukaryota; Metazoa; Chordata; Aves; Galliformes; Numididae.